Molecule: ribosomal RNA, 583 nt
Filed under: uncultured bacterium
Lineage: Bacteria
Description: bacterial SSU rRNA
Rfam family: Bacterial small subunit ribosomal RNA
Source: RNAcentral
CCUACGGGAGGCAGCAGUGGGGAAUUUUGGACAAUGGGCGAAAGCCUGAUCCAGCCAUACCGCGUGCGGGAAGAAGGCCUUCGGGUUGUAAACCGCUUUUGUCAGGGAAGAAAUGCUUCGGGCUAAUACCCUGGGGUGAUGACGGUACCUGAAGAAUAAGCACCGGCUAACUACGUGCCAGCAGCCGCGGUAAUACGUAGGGUGCAAGCGUUAAUCGGAAUUACUGGGCGUAAAGCGUGCGCAGGCGGUUCUAUAAGACAGAUGUGAAAUCCCCGGGCUCAACCUGGGAACUGCAUUUGUGACUGUAGAGCUAGAGUACGGUAGAGGGGGAUGGAAUUCCGCGUGUAGCAGUGAAAUGCGUAGAUAUGCGGAGGAACACCGAUGGCGAAGGCAAUCCCCUGGACCUGUACUGACGCUCAUGCACGAAAGCGUGGGGAACAAACAGGAUUAGAUACCCUGGUAGUCCACGCCCUAAACGAUGUCAACUGGUUGUUGGGAGGGUUUCUCUCAGUAACGAAGCUAACGCGUGAAGUUGACCGCCUGGGGAGUACGGCCGCAAGGUUGAACUCAAAGGAAUUGACGG